AGAGUUUGAUCCUGGCUCAGAUUGAACGCUGGCGGCAGGCCUAACACAUGCAAGUCGAGCGGAUGAUGGGAGCUUGCUCCCGGAUUCAGCGGCGGACGGGUGAGUAAUGCCUAGGAAUCUGCCUGGUAGUGGGGGACAACGUUUCGAAAGGAACGCUAAUACCGCAUACGUCCUACGGGAGAAAGCAGGGGACCUUCGGGCCUUGCGCUAUCAGAUGAGCCUAGGUCGGAUUAGCUGGCUGGUGGGGUAAAGGCCUACCAAGGCGACGAUCCGUAACCGGUCUGAGGGGAUGAUCAGUCACACUGGAACUGAGACACGGUCCAGACUCCUACGGGAGGCAGCAGUGGGGAAUAUUGGACAAUGGGCGAAAGCCUGAUCCAGCCAUGCCGCGUGUGUGAAGAAGGUCUUCGGAUUGUAAAGCACUUUAAGUUGGGAGGAAGGGCAGUAAGUUAAUACCUUGCUGUUUUGACGUUACCAACAGAAUAAGCACCGGCUAACUUCGUGCCAGCAGCCGCGGUAAUACGAAGGGUGCAAGCGUUAAUCGGAAUUACUGGGCGUAAAGCGCGCGUAGGUGGUUUGGUAAGAUGGAUGUGAAAUCCCCGGGCUCAACCUGGGAACUGCAUCCAUAACUGCCUGACUAGAGUACGGUAGAGGGUGGUG
RNAcentral lists this ribosomal RNA (660 nucleotides) under uncultured bacterium. RNAcentral's name for it is "bacterial SSU rRNA". It matches the Rfam family "Bacterial small subunit ribosomal RNA", at positions 8 to 663 of the family's 1533-position model. The record is from RNAcentral.